UGCGGCAAAGGCCUGCACCACC
Molecule: unclassified non-coding RNA, 22 nt
Filed under: Mus musculus (house mouse)
Lineage: Eukaryota; Metazoa; Chordata; Mammalia; Rodentia; Muridae
Description: oocyte_clustered_small_RNA4692
Source: RNAcentral